This 253-nucleotide ribosomal RNA is filed under the name uncultured bacterium. RNAcentral's name for it is "partial 16S ribosomal RNA". It matches the Rfam family "Bacterial small subunit ribosomal RNA", at positions 524 to 776 of the family's 1533-position model. The record is from RNAcentral.
UACGUAGGGUGCGAGCGUUGUCCGGAAUUAUUGGGCGUAAAGAGCUCGUAGGCGGUUUGUCGCGUCGACUGUGAAAACCCGUGGCUCAACUGCGGGCUUGCGGUCGAUACGGGCGGGCUAGAGUUCGGUAGGGGAGACUGGAAUUCCUGGUGUAGCGGUGAAAUGCGCAGAUAUCAGGAGGAACACCGGUGGCGAAGGCGGGUCUCUGGGCCGAUACUGACGCUGAGGAGCGAAAGCGUGGGGAGCGAACAGG